This 829-nucleotide long non-coding RNA is filed under the name Nicotiana benthamiana. RNAcentral's name for it is "long non-coding RNA (NBEN_LNC009068)". The record is from RNAcentral. Lineage: Eukaryota; Viridiplantae; Streptophyta; Magnoliopsida; Solanales; Solanaceae.
UGGAGUUUGAUGUUAUCCGAUCUUCGGUUAAUAGACGUUUCGGGAGACUUUCCGACGUCUAUGGUUUUAUUCUGGUGAGUUUCUCGGAAUCUACGAUUUCCGGUGAACGGAUCUAGGGUUUUUAUCUGUCGAUUGAAGGCCGAUCUUCUCCGGUCGCGAAGAAGGAGGGUAACUCUGUUCUUACUCUUAGUAUUGUUUGUCUUGCAUGUGAAUUCUGAUUCUGUUAUACUUUGUUUACCAAGACUGUUUCCUUCUCAAAAUUGAUUUGCUGUUUAUGGCUUCUAAUAUGAAUGCUAGUACCUCCUCAGUAGACUCUACCAGUCCCCUUUUCAUUUACUCCUCUGACGUCCCUGGAGUUUCACUUGUGUCCACUCCCUUCUCGGGCAGUGGUUAUGGGGGCUGGAGGAGGAAAAUGAUUGUUGUUUCACUUGUGUCCACUCCCUUCUCGGGGAGUGGUUAUAGGGGCUGGAGGAGGAAAAUGAUUGUUGCACUCUCUGCCAAAAAUAAGAUUGGCUUUGUUGACGGCUCAUGUCCCCGACCUGUUAAUAAUGUGGCUGAACAAAAGCUAUGAGACAGAUGCAAUAACAUGGUGAUUUCUUGGUUAACUGCUUCCCUGUCCCCUCAAAUUGCUGAUAGUGUACAAUAUUCUGAUACUGCACAAAGCAUAUGGUCACAAAUUGAGAACAGAUAUGCCACUGCCAACAGGACCAAAAUUUUUGAGUUAAAAAGAGAACUCUCUCACACAUCUCAAGGCUCUUUAGAUAUAGUCUCAUAUUUUAUUAAACUCAAGGGUCUGUGGGAUGAGUUGGGCACAAUGUGCAAAAAUCAU